CUACGGGUCGCUGCAGUGGGGAAUAUUGCACAAUGGACGAAAGUCUGAUGCAGCAACGCCGCGUGGAGGAUGACACAUUUCGGUGCGUAAACUCCUUUUAUAUAGGAAGAUAAUGACGGUACUAUAUGAAUAAGCGCCGGCUAACUCCGUGCCAGCAGCCGCGGUAAUACGGAGGGCGCAAGCGUUACUCGGAAUCACUGGGCGUAAAGAGCGGGUAGGCGGAUAGAUAAGUCAGGAGUGAAAUCCUAUGGCUCAACCAUAGAACUGCUCUUGAAACUGUCUAUCUAGAAUAUGGGAGAGGUAGAUGGAAUUUCUGGUGUAGGGGUAAAAUCCGUAGAGAUCAGAAGGAAUACCGAUUGCGAAGGCGAUCUACUGGAACAUUAUUGACGCUGAGACGCGAAAGCGUGGGGAGCAAACAGGAUUAGAUACCCCAGUAGUC
RNAcentral lists this ribosomal RNA (439 nucleotides) under uncultured bacterium. Its description in RNAcentral is "partial 16S ribosomal RNA". It matches the Rfam family "Bacterial small subunit ribosomal RNA", at positions 339 to 795 of the family's 1533-position model. The record is from RNAcentral.